UACGUAGGGGGCAAGCGUUGUCCGGAAUCAUUGGGCGUAAAGAGCGUGUAGGCGGCCAGAAAAGUCCGUUGUGAAAACUCGAGGCUCAACUUCGAGCUGUCGGUGGAAACUUUCUGGCUAGAGUCCGGAAGAGGAGAAUGGAAUUCCUGGUGUAGCGGUGAAAUGCGCAGAUAUCAGGAAGAACACCCGUGGCGAAGGCGGUUCUCUGGACAGUUCCUGACGCUGAGGCACGAAGGUCAGGGGAGCAAACGGG
RNAcentral lists this ribosomal RNA (253 nucleotides) under uncultured bacterium. RNAcentral describes it as "partial 16S ribosomal RNA". It matches the Rfam family "Bacterial small subunit ribosomal RNA", at positions 524 to 776 of the family's 1533-position model. The record is from RNAcentral.